AGUGAACGCUGGCGGUAGGCCUAGCACAUGCAAGUCGAACGGCAGCACAGUAAGCGCUUGCUCUUACGGGUGGCGAGUGGCGGACGGGUGAGGAAUACAUCGGAAUCUACUUUUUCGUGGGGGAUAACGUAGGGAAACUUACGCUAAUACCGCAUACGACCUACGGGUGAAAGCAGGGGAUCUUCGGACCUUGCGCGAUUGAAUGAGCCGAUGUCGGAUUAGCUAGUUGGCGGGGUAAGGGCCCACCAAGGCGACGAUCCGUAGCUGGUCUGAGAGGAUGAUCAGCCACACUGGAACUGAGACACGGUCCAGACUCCUACGGGAGGCAGCAGUGGGGAAUAUUGGACAAUGGGCGCAAACCUGAUCCAGCCAUACCGCGUGGGUGAAGAAGGCCUUCGGGUUGUAAAGCCCUUUUGUUGGGAAAGAAAAGCAGCAGGUUAAUACCCCGCUGUUCUGACGGUACCCAAAGAAUAAGCACCGGCUAACUUCGUG
RNAcentral lists this ribosomal RNA (492 nucleotides) under uncultured bacterium. Its description in RNAcentral is "partial 16S ribosomal RNA". It matches the Rfam family "Bacterial small subunit ribosomal RNA", at positions 29 to 507 of the family's 1533-position model. The record is from RNAcentral.